GUGUGUGUGUGUGUGUGUGUAUAAGGCAUGAACCCUGUCUAGGAAAAUUGUCUCAACAAUUUGGGAUGAAUGAACUUGUGUGUGAAGUCCUAGGAUAUACCUAUUGGCGCUUGAGAACUGCAGAUGGGUAAUUGACUUCACAUAAACCUGUCUAAUUUAAAAUACAUUAAACACAGGUAAUCCAAAGUGGUCUUGAGCAUUGCAUUGUUGUGUUCUCUCCCAUAAUUUCCAAUUGC
RNAcentral lists this unclassified non-coding RNA (236 nucleotides) under Hevea brasiliensis (rubber tree). Lineage: Eukaryota; Viridiplantae; Streptophyta; Magnoliopsida; Malpighiales; Euphorbiaceae. The record is from RNAcentral.